CGCGGGACAACAAACAACAGAAUUAAAGCCGGGAAAAGAAAGAAGCUUUAGAAGAAGAAGAGGAGAAGAAGAAAGCCAAAGAAGAGGAGAAAGGAGAGUAGGGAGAUGUAAAAUCUGCAAUUUUCAUUAAUCAUCAAUAGUUCCUUACAUUUAGAAAAGUAGGGUAUUUAUACUAAAACCCUAACUCGAAUAAGCAAUUGGGCUUAUGACCCAUUAAAUAAAAUAUCCAACAAUAAUUAAAUCCAACCCAACAAAUAAAACCAAAUUCAUAAACCUUAACUAAAAGUCCAUAUGAAUUAAGCCCAAAAACAUAAGCUAAAGCCCAAUUUCUCAAUGGUUUGGGCUAUCCUCCAUCGUCUAUAAUUAUACGCGCGCGUAACCAAUGUUUCCGGUUCGGUGUCCCCAUCAAUUCUCCUGGGGUUGGAAGAACUCGACCCCGUCGAGUAUAGGUCAAGGCAGCUCCGAUAAUGCUCUCAAAGGUAAGGAUCAAGCUGUUAUGAUGUCUCUCUGAUAAUCCAAGUAUAGUCUGAAUCUGGUCGUCGAGCCCAUAUACUAGGAUUUGCGGAAGUUCAUCAUCCCUGGUAAAAACAACUUGUGCAUUCAAAGUAGCAUUAAUAUGUUCCUUUUGUGCCAAAGAUAUGGGUAAUGAGGUAGGGGUAUCAAAAGGAGCAUCAAGCAUAGGUUGUAUUUUAUAAAGAAUAAGGUCCUUCAUGUUAAAAGUAGAGCUAAUAUCAAAGUUUAAUGGCAAUUUAAUGACAUAAUUAUUUGAUUUAAUCAUUUGCAACACUUUGAAUGGUCUAGCACUACUUACUUGCAAUUUAUGAUCAGUUUCCAAAGGACACCGUUCAUGUCUAAUCUGUAUCAUGAAAUAAUCUCCAACAUUAAGUGCAUCAUGAUACUUAAGUAAAUCAGCUUGAAAUUUGUAUUGUUCAUUACUUGCUUGAAUUUGUUUCAUGAUCUCAAUAUGUAAAUUAUGAACCCUACAUGGUAACGACUCAGCUGACUUAGACAUCCUAUCGUGAGGAGAUAUGGGAGGGUGUUCUAUAGGCUUCUCAGGUUUGUAACUAUGAACAUUAAAUGAUUGAGGGUGUGGAAUGUGACAAACAUUGUUUGAAACCUGUGUAGAUAUGGUAUGAACACGAUCAAGUAAACUAGGAUUAUCUUCAUCUUCCUCAUCACGUGCAUGUGGUAAGGGGUCAAAAAGCUCAAUAUGUUGCUCUAAACUUAUGAUGUGCUGGACACCAAGCAUGUGGGAUGAGGAAUCAGGUAGUUUAGGAGGACUAAUAUCAUGAGACUCUUCUAAGACCAUACGUAUCUCUACAGGCAAUUCCACUGAAGAGUUCCCUAAAACUUCCUCUACCAUUGAAGCAGACAUAUCAGACUCUUUUUUAACCUCAGUCUCAAGCUCAUGUGGACUCAUUGUGUUAAGUCCCUCUUUUUGCACAUCCUCGUCAUCCAGGUCGCUAAAAUCCUCAAGAUUAGGCUCAUACACUUCAACACUACAAUAUUCCUCUUUACCUAUAUCCUUAUAUUUUUGGAUGACUAAGGGUUUAGAGGUGCAAUCUAAGGAGAUAUGACCAAAACCUAAACAAUUAGUACACUUAACCUUUGAACUCACCUUAGACACUUCAUUGACAACUCGUUUACCUUUAUCUUUCUUACAAAGUUGGGUGCUACUAGGAUUAGGUCUGUGGGGUGGAGCACCUAACAAAGAAUCACUGUUUCUGAAUUGGGACCUAGUAGGGAUACUAUAAGAGUCCUGACGAUUCUUCCACUGAUUCUUUAUGACCAACUUGUAGUCUUUAACUAAGGUAUAAGCCUGGUCAAGGGUAGAUACACCUUGAAAUGCAACUUCUCUUCUAAGAUCAUCAUUUAAGCCUCUACAAAAUCUACGCAAAGUCAUGGCUUCAUUCUCUCUUAUGGCACAUCUAAUCAUGUAGUCGUUAAACUGCGUUAUAUACUCAUUGAUAGACUUAUUCCCUUGUCUUAGAUUGUUCCAUUGAUCUAAGAGUUUAUUCCUAUAAGACUGGGGUAGGUACUUCUCCUGAAGUUUUUGUUUCAUUUUGAUCCAAUCAGUUAUAGGAGGUUUAUCUCUCAUCUCUAAACAAUCCUCAACAUCUCUCCAAUAAAUUUUGGCUUCAUCAAUGAGCAUCAUCUUAGCAAAUCUAACUUUUCUAUUAUCAGACAAGUUAUGCCACUCAAAGAAUCGAUCCAUAUCACGAAUCCACAUAUCAAAUAUCCAAGGAUCAUGACGACCAUCAAAAGUGGGGGGUUUUAUUUUGCUAGGACUCAAGACUCGCUCAUCAAAGUCAUCAUGUUUAGAGUAACCUAAAUGAUAGUCAUACUGGUGGCGCUUAGAGUGAGCUUGUCCAUAAUGAUUGUUCUUGUGAUAUUCAUUAGUCUUUAAGUGCCUUAUUCGAAAACUCUCUUGGGGCUCAAUUCUUCUAAACAUAUUGAUCACCUAAGUUUGCAGUGCCCUUUAAAUGGUCAUAAGAAUAUGACUAAGGGUUAAGUCUACGGUAAGUGUAAACUUAAGUUUGGACACUAGAUGAUCAUGACACAAAAGCAUACAACACUCACUUAGAAAUGAAAUUGAGAUCACAAAUGGUUCUUACAAGUGAAAUCACAAUACAAAAAUAAAGCUAAUUUUUUUUUUUAUCCUUUUUUUCUUCUUCUUAAAUGUGGAGAUUAAUCAAGAACAAAUUACACUAAUAAAAUUGUAAGCAUGUAAUACUAAAUUCUUAAGUGUAAAUGAUUAAUCAAAUACGAUGUCAUAAGCAAGAAUUCAUAAUUAUCAAAUAAAAUAAGAUAUUAGCUAUCAUUGAUGAAAGAGGUUGAUGAACAAAAAUUAACAAUUAAAAUUCUAGGUGAGAUUUUUUUUUUUUAGGAAUUUUCUUGGCACAAAAGUAAUAUUAAUAAUACCUUAAAUGACAAGUGAAAAACCAAGAAACGUAAACUUCAACAAAUAUGUGAGAGUGAUUCACUAACUAGAGUGCUGGGAGGAAGCUGGAGCUGACGUGGCAAACCAGAUGAAUGGACUGCUGACAUGGCAGAUGACAUGGCCAGUUUGCUGACGUGGUGGGUGACGGGGACGCUCAUGUCUGCCGUGGCAGGGUGGCAUGUCUGGAGGGGCAGUUGACGUGGCGGUCAGCGCUGAUGUGGCAGGUACGAUGACGUGGCACACGACAUGGCAAGAUCUGCUGGCGUGGCAGGUGACACUGAUGCUGGCGUGGCGAUGACGUGUCUAGGUUAAUUAUAUUCUCAGCUGUGGUUUUCUUUCUUUCUUCCGUAGCUUCUGUGACCCGUUGCCGCCGCUGUCGGCGAUGGCUCACUCCGUGCUCAUGCUUGGGGCCAGCGGCGCGAGAGGAAGAGGUGGUGGUGUCGGGUGUCGCUGCUGGGUGGGGCUGUUGAUCCGGUGUCGCUGCUGGGCGGGGGCUGCUGCCGAAGGUGAGGGCGCUGUGGAUGGGUGGUCGCGGCUGGUGCUGUUGCUGGGGUGCGGUUGAUGGCGCUGAUGGUUAGCAACGCUGGAACCAGCGACUGAGAGCUACGGUGGCUGUGGCGCUGCAGGUUUGUUGAAGGCAGUACCUUGGCGUGGUGUGCGAUCGAUGGCUGUGGUCGGCGUUGAUGUGGAGUGGCCGAUUGUUCUGUGGAACUGAUGUGCAGGUCUUCUUGGUGGCGGGCUGCCGCUGAUGCUCGCCUGGGGCGCCGCUGAUGGCGGGGCGCCGAAGACAGUGACGAUGAACAGUGAAGAUGAGCUGAUCUCGGUUUUGGUGGCUAUUGGGGAUGCCCAAACUGCUCUCUGGUGAGGAUGAAACUGGUUGAUGCGUGGAUCCGUUGUGAUGGGUGUUGUGGGUAGCUGUUGCUGGUGGUUUCGUGCUGCUGAAGCCGAAGAUCCACUGAUGUCUCUUGCGGUGUCAAUCUGGUGGUUGCCGCUGGUCUGUGUCGGAGGUAGCAAAUCGGCGUGGAUCGGUGGACUGAUUUGUAGGUCUUCUCGGUGGUGGGUCUGUCGUUGUGACUGGCUGAGACGCCGCAGAUGGCAGGGGCGCCGCUGCUGGAAACCCGAUUACAGUGGAUGAUGAACAGUGAUUUGAACAGUGAAUAGUGAACAGUGAACCGUGGUUUCUUGUAAUUAGAACAGUAGGGUUUUGAACAUGGAUUUUUUUUUUUUUUUUUUUACAGUAGGGUUUCACAUAAACGCAUAGAUCGUUUAAUUGUAAGAACAAUUAAAAGCCAUGCUCUGAUACCAAAUUUGACGCGGGACAACAAACAACAGAAUUAAAGCCGGGAAAAGAAAGAAGCUUUAGAAGAAGAAGAGGAGAAGAAGAAAGCCAAAGAAGAGGAGAAAGGAGAGUAGGGAGAUGUAAAAUCUGCAAUUUUCAUUAAUCAUCAAUAGUUCCUUACAUUUAGAAAAGUAGGGUAUUUAUACUAAAACCCUAACUCGAAUAAGCAAUUGGGCUUAUGACCCAUUAAAUAAAAUAUCCAACAAUAAUUAAAUCCAACCCAACAAAUAAAACCAAAUUCAUAAACCUUAACUAAAAGUCCAUAUGAAUUAAGCCCAAAAACAUAAGCUAAAGCCCAAUUUCUCAAUGGUUUGGGCUAUCCUCCAUCGUCUAUAAUUAUACGCGCGCGUAACCAAUGUUUCCGGUUCGGUGUCCCCAUCAACCACGGCAGAGAUUGUGUCGAAUCACCCCUAUGAAAGAAAGUGGUUCCACUCCCCAUAUUAAGGGCUUUAAAAUGGAAUUGAGCUGGACAGCAGAUGGAGUUGCAGCAAUUUCAACAUAGGACUAACUAAACAAAAGGAUAACAACAAUAAUAAAUAAGUUUUAAAGCAAGAAAAAGAAUACAGCAUAGGAAAGGG
RNAcentral lists this long non-coding RNA (4858 nucleotides) under Populus trichocarpa (black cottonwood). RNAcentral's name for it is "long non-coding RNA (PTRI_LNC000270)". Lineage: Eukaryota; Viridiplantae; Streptophyta; Magnoliopsida; Malpighiales; Salicaceae. The record is from RNAcentral.